Arvicola amphibius (Eurasian water vole) is the source of this 4502-nucleotide long non-coding RNA. RefSeq lists it as uncharacterized. The transcript is spliced from 3 exons. NCBI's taxonomy places the organism in Eukaryota, Metazoa, Chordata, Mammalia, Rodentia, Cricetidae. The record is from RefSeq and is a predicted model, not a curated record.
CCACGGCGUGCGCAGAGCAAGGGACACUGAGAAAACCUCCAACCCCAAGGCAACGGGUGCAGAAGCGGAGAAGGCCCCGCACCGCCAAGAAAGAAAGCCAGGCAGUGGAGACCAGAUGGCACGUGCUGGGGUCCCCUAGACACUGGGUCAGCGCCCUCAGUACUCAGACCCACCUGGAGCCGGGACCCCAUCUUCCAUUUGCCCUAGCCAGAGCAGUCCCCAGCCAGGGCCACCCAACUGGCACAAACUGCUCUUUGUCCAGACCCCCUUGUGCGCCCACACCACAGAGAAUAUCGGCCCCGCGGCUGCCCUCUGCUAGUGCCUCCCAGCUCCAUGCCGUGGCGCUUGGUGCUGGGCCGCUGAGGGGCUCCAGGCUCUUACCUCUCGGCCGAGUAGUGCUCAGGCGCCUUCCUCCCGUUGUAGCCUCGGGCCAAGGACCCCAGCAACAGGAUCACGAUGCAGGCAACACGGAGCAACAGUCCAGCCCACAUGACUGGCAGCAGCGGUCCUGGACUCCAGUGGUCUCAGGCCCCCCCGCACCAGGGAAGGGGCUGCCGACCUUGUCCCUCCUCCUAGAAGUGAUCCAAUCUCCCCAACAGCUGGCCAGAGGAAGAGGACGCCGAGAAGAGGGCUGGGGUUUGGGGGAGGACUGCCUCGGCAGACGGGGGUGGGGGGUGGGGGGGUCCUUGCACCUAGGAGAGAAACACACAAAAGGAGCGCCGCCCGCCGGUGCCUCUCCGGGAGGCGUGGAGCCCGGGGCGGGAGCAAAGAUCAGGGACCCCGAGGGCGGGGUUUCACCCUCGGCCCACACCCCCAGCCUGGGUUUGGGAGUCACCUUCCACAGAAUGACUGAGGGUUUCAGAUCAAAACCUAGGUCGGAAAGACACUUCAGGAACAAGGUUUUUGGGUUUCCGUGGAACCCAAUACAUCUGUAUUCUCAGGUGAGACUUGUGGACACUCAAUCCCAGGACCCUGAGUCUCCUGAGCCUAGGCAGUUUUGACUCUCCCCAAGGCGACCAACAAAGUUGGUUAAUCUGCUCCCCAUCCAAAGGGAACUCCAGUGGGAAAUUUAGUCACGCAGUCAAUAACCUUGGUUCCCACAGUCUAAUCUCUGCUUCAUUCCCUGAGAUACAUCAGAAGCCACCUCCCUGCAACUAUCUUCCAUUUGACACGACAUGCAGUCAGGAAAGAAGUCUUUCAUAUUGAUCACAUUUGGGACCUUCAGAGAUAAAGGGACAUCCAAGCUCAGAGAACUGCCUUUGUUUUGCGUGUGUAUAUAAACUGGAAACUUUACAGGAGGAGAACAGCAGGAGAAAACUAAACUGAUGCAGGAAAGAACAUAGUGGAGAGUUCACUUCGCCCUCAGAUCUAAGUCUCGCGCGUUGCUCCAUGCUCAACCCCAGUUCUCCUCCUCACCUCUGCCUCUGAAAGGAACAGAAGUGGAUGUGGAACCUUGGUGGAAUGAGUUUGACGCUGCAUGAGGAUGGAGUGGUAACGAUCUAUACUAAGGACCAGAACCUGAGUAGAACUGGAGGAACCCAAACAGCUCAAUACUGCAAGGACUCCAGAUUCCAAUUUCAAGACAGACCCCUGAUAGCAAUCAAGGCAGUUUGUGGUGGAAGGCAUUAUUGAGAGCCACAAAGGGCUACUGGCCCCGUGAAUUCUAGGAGAAAAACCUGGAGUAAUCAAGUAUCCAAGAAUGACACCUGUCUACAAGGCAUUAUGGAGAGCCACAAAGGGCUACUGGCCCUGUGAAUUCUAGGAGAAAAACCUGGAGUAAUCAAGUAUCCAGGAAUGACACCUGUCUACAAGGCCUAGCAUGAACAUAGCACAGCUCACCUGAAGGUUUGCCACAACCUCCUGCAUCUUGGGGCGGCUGAUAUCUAGGAAACUCUCAAUCAGGUCACCAUCGAUGAAGCCUGUGGCUGGUUCUGUCUUCCGCUCAGUGUGAAAGGAUCUCCAGGUGGACAGGUGAGUUAAAGAAUGUAGCUCAUCUGCAAAUACCCCUGCUCUUACUCAUUGCCACCUCUGAGCAAGAGGGAGUCAGAAGUGGAAUAGGAAACAAUCUGUUUUUACUAAAACUAUACUGCUUUUGGACAGUUUUGGAAAGGAAAAAAAAUGUAAAAAUUAUUGCUAAAUCCAUUUAGGGUUACCUUAAAAAAGUUAUGGCAAAGCCCAGACAAAACUGGAUGGUCUUGAAAAGUGUUGCAUGUGAAUUUGAUGUCCAUAGCAUCCAACCUAGUCUAACCUCAAGAUCCUUGAAUAAACUAAUACUUAGGGAGAGAACAGGCUAUCUGAAUGUGAGCAAAACACCGAGACAGUACCCUCCCUGAGUCAGCCACAUAGGCAGAAGAAGCUUUUCCAUGUCUUGCCUGGGAGGACCUAAACUGCUCCUGCAUAGGAAGGAAUUCUGGUGUCCCUAGAUGGCUGAUCCUUCAGUUUCUGGAGUUUCAGUUUUUUUACUCUCCCCUGUUCUUCUGAUCCCUCAAAAGAUGUGCUCCUACAGUGAUCUGAGCUCUCUUUAAGGUAGACCUUGUAGAGGAACUCAAUAUAACUGUAUAUUCCAAGAUGAACCAUCACAGCUUACUGUGAUUCACUGUGGGGAUCCACUAUACCACCACUCCCUUUACUAUUGUAUGCACCUGAAAAUUUUUACACACAAAAACUACAAAGAUAGGCUGAGGAGACAGUUUAGUCAGUAAGGUGCUUGCUGCACAAACAUGAGGACCUCGAUCUGACACCUAGUAAAAAGCUCCACAUGGGGAACAUGCUUAUAAUCCCAGCACUGGGGAAGCAAAGACAGGAGGGCCACUGGGGCUCACUGCUUAACCAAUCUAUCCUACACAGUGAGCUCCAGAGUUCAGUAGGAGACAAUGUCCCAAAAACCAUGGUAGAAACCUCCCUAUGCAUACAUAACGUUAAAAACAAAAACAACCCUGUUCUGUGCAAAAAACCUAGUAAAACGUUUCCGGAAACAGCUAUGAUAAACUCAGCUCUCUGCAUGUGCUGGAAUGUGCUUCCCAGCAGACAAUUCUCUGGGCAGGAAGGAUAUAAGGAGUGUUCGAUCUUGCCCACACUUUUGAUGACCUUAUUGAGUCGGUUCUGCAUGUCCAACAGGAGGUUAUACCAGCUCUCUGACAGUGAGGUCACCAGCCCUGAAGAAAGAAGGAGGCAGUGAGGUAUAGAGCACUUCAGAGCCUAGACAAACCAGGGACAAGCUUGCUGCAGUUGAGUGUGCCCUACAGGAAUUACCUUACCUAUCAUGCCGUUGACUGUGCCAAAGAGCACCGAACCCUGUGUAGGGGUAGAAGUCUCGCCCAGAUUCUGCAUAACUAGGGAGCCAUGGCAGAACACAUUGACAAACUCGCCCAGGUGGAAGAGACCAACCUCCUGCAGGUGCUGCCGCUCCUCAUCAGUGGUGGCAGCACUGAAAGACAUGAGAUGUCACUUUCUGAACCCAUCUCCCUAAGCAGGCCUCAACACAGGACCAUGUUUGACAAGAUACUAUGUACUGAAUAUCCUGGGAAAAACUAUCCUGGGAAAACCAUUUGGAGGGCAGUCUACAAAGCCUCUGAGUCUUAGAAAGGAAAUUCUAACUAUCAAGGGUCACACGUAAGCCCCAUAUAGCACCCAACUUGCUCAGCCCAACAGACCCAGAGGCCCAGUCCUAACCAUGCUCCUGCCAAGGACACACACCUGUCCUUCUGACACACAAACAAGUUAAAGGCAUUUUCAGCUCCCAGGAAAUUGUCAUCAUCCAAGAUUUCCACUGCACUCAUCCAGUUGGGAUUAAAAUCUCGGGCAAUCUGAAAACAGAAACAGUAAGUAUAGUCUCCAGUGUGCGUGGAACCCAGUUCUGAGAUUCAUUAAGCUUUUGGUCAGAAGCCAAGGUCUACCUGCAGAAGGUCCAGUCCUGUGUUUAAUGAUGACCACUUUAGAGAUUACCUCUCAGUCCUAUCCCCUUCUCCCCUCCUCCCCCCCACCCUAAAGCUGGCCAACACAGGCCAUUGGCUAUAAUUUCCCAAAGAUGGAGCCUAUUUGAUUUCAGGAUCAGCAAGGUGGGGGAAGGAUACUGAAUGUGGUUGAGGGAGGACCUUCAUGACUGGACUUGGCCAUGCUUUUGACACUCAACACUGGCAAGGAGUCAUUGUACGCAAGAAGUCUGAGCUCAAGUCCUGGACUACCUCUUCAAAGUUUCCUUCCAUGGGCUUGUAGGCAAGUAGCAGCACUGAGCGCAUGAGGUCGCCCACCAGGAUGAAGUCACCCUUGGUCUUCAGGUAGAGGGCCAUGAUGUUGUUGUAGUGGUUACACUCAGUGCGGAGCUCCUUCUCUGUGGUCCACUCAUAGAGCCGCACCUGGGAAGACACACGUAUAAGCCUGGGAGCCCAGCCCCGACUCAAUCAUCCACUCCCUACAGAGCAGGGUAGGUUGGAAAACAGUAUAUGGUUUAUGAGUGAACAGUUAUUUCAGUACAUAUACUGCUGAAAUAGGAAAACUGGGUG